This 245-nucleotide ribosomal RNA is filed under the name uncultured bacterium. RNAcentral describes it as "partial 16S ribosomal RNA". It matches the Rfam family "Bacterial small subunit ribosomal RNA", at positions 57 to 305 of the family's 1533-position model. The record is from RNAcentral.
GCAAGUCGAGCACGAAAUCUCCUUCGGGAGUGAGUAGAGCGGCGGACGGGUGAGUAACGCGUAGGAAUCUACCCAGUGGUGGGGGACAACAGUCGGAAACGGCUGCUAAUACCGCAUACGCCCUACGGGGGAAAGCGGGGGACCUUCGGGCCUCGCGCCAUUGGAUGAGCCUGCGUCGGAUUAGCUAGUUGGUAGGGUAAAGGCCUACCAAGGCGACGAUCCGUAGCUGGUCUGAGAGGACGAUC